GAUGAACGCUGGCGGCGUGCCUAAUACAUGCAAGUCGAGCGAACAGACGAGGAGCUUGCUCCUCUGACGUUAGCGGCGGACGGGUGAGUAACACGUGGAUAACCUACCUAUAAGACUGGGAUAACUUCGGGAAACCGGAGCUAAUACCGGAUAAUAUAUUGAACCGCAUGGUUCAAUAGUGAAAGACGGUUUUGCUGUGACUUCUAGACCUAUCCGCGCCGCAUUAGCUAGUUGGUAAGGUAACGGCUUACCAAGGCAACGAUGCGUAGCCGACCUGAGAGGGUGAUCGGCCACACUGGAACUGAGACACGGUCCAGACUCCUACGGGAGGCAGCAGUAGGGAAUCUUCCGCAAUGGGCGAAAGCCUGACGUGGCAACGCCGCGUGAGUGAUGAAGAGCUGCGGAUCGUAAAACUCUGUUAUUAGGGAAGAACAAAUGUGUAAGUAACUAUGCACGUCUUGACGGUACCUAAUCAGAAAGCCACGGCUAACUACGUG
Molecule: ribosomal RNA, 497 nt
Filed under: uncultured bacterium
Lineage: Bacteria
Description: partial 16S ribosomal RNA
Rfam family: Bacterial small subunit ribosomal RNA
Source: RNAcentral